GGUUUUACUUUCAAACUUUUUUUUAGUUUUGGUAAAACCUUUGUGUGUCUUUACACAGAAAAUAUGUCAAAAUCAUAACGAGGUGCUAAUUUCACAUAAUUUAAUGAAUUAUAAAUAGUUAGUUUGAUGUUUGUCUGUAGGUUUUGAUGGCUGUUAUAAUGUUUCUGCUUCACGUGUCUGCUGAGGUGACAGUAUUACCUCUAUUUGUAUCAUUUAUUUAUGCAACUAAAAAAAAAAAAAGUUUUUAUGCAGUGUCCCGCAUGCUUUGAUUUGAUAUUCUGUAUGUUUACAACUGGUCAUUAUUUUUGCAGUUCAGUUUUGUAAUGUUGGAAAUGUCAAGUGAGAUCUGUUCAGGUUGUGAUGCAGGAACAGGUGGAGUCAGAUACACUUACAUUAGAUCUGGUCAAACACGUCUGAAGCGUCACAGACACUGAGAGAAUCAUCAUAUAAUCACCACAGUUAAGAUGAAGCGACCAUGCAUUUUAAUCGGCAAGAAACCACAGGAGCACGAGCCCAUUGUACAGACUGUCAUCACAUCACACACAAACCGUUCAACUACUGAACUGGCUGACUUUGUAGAGAAGCAAAGGUCUCAUUCCUUAAAAAAAAUGACUUUGGAGGACAAAUGAAGAUAUUGUAAUGGAGAAAUGAUGUCUGUUUGCCCAUACAAUGGAAGACCAACGGGGACCAAACCUUCGAGCUCCAAAAGGAACAUAAAGAGGCAAACAGACAUUUCAUCUCCAUUAAAUAAUCAUUUAUUGAAUCAUCGCAGUUCAAAUCAGCAUAAGGCCAUCUUAAAUUGUUUUCUUUACUAAUAGAUGUCUGCCACUCCUUUGACUUGACUGAUACUUUAUUGGAAUAAAUCCAGAAAAGAGGAUAAAAGCUGCAUGGAGAAAAGAGGUGUCUAAAACAACUGGAAAAACUGCAGAAGAAGACCAAGAUGAAAAAGAAGUCCAAAAGUAUCUCAUCAUUUACUCAACCUUAUGCUGUCUCAAACUCCUAGGACUUUCUCUUGGAAGACAAAUGAAGAUAUUGUAAUUGAGAAAUGUUUGCCCACACAAUGGAAGACCAAUGGGGACCAAACCUUCAAGCUCCAAAAGGAACAUAAAGAUCAGCCAUGUCAAAGACAUCGAUGGAUAUCCAUAAAUCAGACAUGUGUGAUAAGAUGCAGAGCGAGGUUCUUCAGGUCGCUCUUCUGGCUGCGAAUAUGUAUGAAGAUAGCACGGACAUUGCUGUCUACAUCAGGACGGAAUUUGAGAGAAAGCAUGGAGGCACCUGGAGCUGCAUUGUGGGGAACUGUGGUGUCAGUGUGACAUAUAAACUGAACAGUUAUAUCAGCUUCUCUGUUGCUGGCAAAAGAAUUUUGCUCUUCAGAACUGACUGAGGUUCAGCAACAGUUUAUUUUAUCCACAUAAUUAAUAAAACAUCCACCUUCA
Long non-coding RNA from Ctenopharyngodon idella (grass carp), 1436 nucleotides. RefSeq lists it as uncharacterized. The record is from RefSeq and is a predicted model, not a curated record. The transcript is spliced from 9 exons. Lineage: Eukaryota; Metazoa; Chordata; Actinopteri; Cypriniformes; Xenocyprididae.